This 196-nucleotide small nuclear RNA is filed under the name Nelumbo nucifera (sacred lotus). RNAcentral describes it as "U2 spliceosomal RNA". It matches the Rfam family "U2 spliceosomal RNA". Rfam says of the family: U2 is a small nuclear RNA (snRNA) component of the spliceosome (involved in pre-mRNA splicing). Complementary binding between U2 snRNA (in an area lying towards the 5' end but 3' to hairpin I) and the branchpoint sequence (BPS) of the intron results the bulging out of an unpaired adenosine, on the BPS, which initiates a nucleophilic attack at the intronic 5' splice site, thus starting the first of two transesterification reactions that mediate splicing. The record is from Rfam by way of RNAcentral. Lineage: Eukaryota; Viridiplantae; Streptophyta; Magnoliopsida; Proteales; Nelumbonaceae.
CCCACAUCGGCUGGUGAAAAGAAUCGAAUAGGUAGCAGUAUCUGUUCUUAUCAGUUUAAUAUCUGAUACGUGAGCAAUUGGUCCACAUGAUAUUAAUUUUAUUUUUAUAGGGAGAUGGCCCAUUACAGUUGUUUUCUACUUGGGUCUUCGUGCUUCUCCUUUGCGUUUCACUACUUCUCGGGCCUGUUUACCCCUU